Molecule: ribosomal RNA, 491 nt
Filed under: uncultured bacterium
Lineage: Bacteria
Description: bacterial SSU rRNA
Rfam family: Bacterial small subunit ribosomal RNA
Source: RNAcentral
AACGAACGCUGGAGGCGUACCUAACACAUGCAAGUCGAACGAGAAAUCCUGAUUCGUCAGGAGAGUAAAGUGGCGAAUGGGUGAGUAAGGUGAGGGUAAUCUACCCUUAAAUUAGGGAUAACUUUGCGAAAGCGAAGCUAAUACCUGAUAAGACUACUAUCUCUUAGGAGAAAGUAGGAAAAGAUGGCCUCUGUUUCAUGCUGUCGUUUAAGGAUGAGCCCUUAUACUAUUAGCUAGUUGGUGAGGUAAUGGCUCACCAAGGCAACGAUGGUUAGCUGGUCUGAGAGGAUGAUCAGCCACACUGGAACUGAGACACGGUCUAGACUCCUACGGGAGGCAGCAGUGAGGAAUAUUGCGCAAUGGGGGAAACCCUGACGCAGUGACGCCUCGUGAGUGAUGAAGGCUUUCGAGUCGUAAAGCUCUGUUAGGUGGAAAGAAGUAUUCCUAGUGAUAAUACCAUUGGGAUUUGACGUACCACCAGAGAAGCAACC